This 303-nucleotide ribosomal RNA is filed under the name uncultured bacterium. Its description in RNAcentral is "partial 16S ribosomal RNA". It matches the Rfam family "Bacterial small subunit ribosomal RNA", at positions 507 to 807 of the family's 1533-position model. The record is from RNAcentral.
AGCAGCAGCCGCGGUAAUACGGAGGGUGCAAGCGUUAAUCGGAAUUACUGGGCGUAAAGCGCACGCAGGCGGUCUGACAAGUCAGAUGUGAAAUCCCCGGGCUUAACCUGGAAACUGCAUUUGAAACUGUCAGGCUGGAGUCUUGUAGAGGGGGGUAGAAUUCCAGGUGUAGCGGUGAAAUGCGUAGAGAUCUGGAGGAAUACCGGUGGCGAAGGCGGCCCCCUGGACAAAGACUGACGCUCAGGUGCGAAAGCGUGGGGAGCAAACAGGAUUAGAUACCCCAGUAGUCCCUGUCUCUUAUAC